AUUGAACGCUGGCGGCAUGCCUUACACAUGCAAGUCGAACGGUAACGGGCCUUCGGGUGCCGACGAGUGGCGAACGGGUGAGUAAUGCAUCGGAACGUACCUUUCAGUGGGGGAUAACGUAGCGAAAGUUACGCUAAUACCGCAUAUUCUGUGAGCAGGAAAGCAGGGGAUCGCAAGACCUUGCGCUGAUUGAGCGGCCGAUGUCAGAUUAGCUAGUUGGUGAGGUAAAGGCUCACCAAGGCGACGAUCUGUAGCGGGUCUGAGAGGAUGAUCCGCCACACUGGAACUGAGACACGGUCCAGACUCCUACGGGAGGCAGCAGUGGGGAAUUUUGGACAAUGGGGGCAACCCUGAUCCAGCCAUGCCGCGUGAGUGAAGAAGG
This 382-nucleotide ribosomal RNA is filed under the name uncultured bacterium. RNAcentral describes it as "bacterial SSU rRNA". It matches the Rfam family "Bacterial small subunit ribosomal RNA", at positions 30 to 414 of the family's 1533-position model. The record is from RNAcentral.